RNAcentral lists this unclassified non-coding RNA (241 nucleotides) under plant metagenome. RNAcentral describes it as "partial contains small subunit ribosomal RNA, internal transcribed spacer 1, and 5.8S ribosomal RNA". The record is from RNAcentral.
UUUCCGUAGGUGAACCUGCGGAAGGAUCAUUCACAAUAAGUGUUUUAUGGCACUUUUUAAACAACCCUUAUCCACCUUGUGUGCAACGUUAAGAGACCCACUAUCGUUAUCUUUUAGGUUACCGAAGGGGGAACCUCUACAACUUACCAGCAACGCCUUUAACUUAUUUGUCUGAACAUUUGUUAACACGAGUGAACUUAAUGCGAAAAUACAACUUUCAACAACGGAUCUCUUGGCUCUC